GUUUAUAUAGUUUAAUAAAAAACCUUACAUUUUCAUUGUAAAAUUAGAUAGAAUCUUGUAAAUA
RNAcentral lists this transfer RNA (64 nucleotides) under Mecinus janthinus. RNAcentral's name for it is "tRNA-Glu". Lineage: Eukaryota; Metazoa; Arthropoda; Insecta; Coleoptera; Curculionidae. The record is from RNAcentral.